UACGUAGGUGGCAAGCGUUAUCCGGAUUUAUUGGGCGUAAAGGGAACGCAGGCGGUCUUUUAAGUCUGAUGUGAAAGCCUUCGGCUUAACCGGAGUAGUGCAUUGGAAGCUGGGAGACUUGAGUGCAGAAGAGGAGAGUGGAACUCCAUGUGUAGCGGUGAAAUGCGUAGAUAUAUGGAAGAACACCAGUGGCGAAAGCGGCUCACUGGUCUGUAACUGACGCUGAGGUUCGAAAGCGUGGGUAGCAAACAGG
This 253-nucleotide ribosomal RNA is filed under the name uncultured bacterium. RNAcentral's name for it is "partial 16S ribosomal RNA". It matches the Rfam family "Bacterial small subunit ribosomal RNA", at positions 524 to 776 of the family's 1533-position model. The record is from RNAcentral.